Molecule: ribosomal RNA, 497 nt
Filed under: uncultured bacterium
Lineage: Bacteria
Description: partial 16S ribosomal RNA
Rfam family: Bacterial small subunit ribosomal RNA
Source: RNAcentral
GAUGAACGCUGGCGGCGUGCCUAAUACAUGCGAGUCGAGCGAACAGACGAGGAGCUUGCUCCUCUGACGUUAGCGGCGGACGGGUGAGUAACACGUGGAUAACCUACCUAUAAGACUGGGAUAACUUCGGGAAACCGGAGCUAAUACCGGAUAACAUGUUGAACCGCAUGGUUCAACAGUGAAAGACGGUCUUGCUGUCACUUAUAGAUGGAUCCGCGCCGCAUUAGCUAGUUGGUAAGGUAACGGCUUACCAAGGCAACGAUGCGUAGCCGACCUGAGAGGGUGAUCGGCCACACUGGAACUGAGACACGGUCCAGACUCCUACGGGAGGCAGCAGUAGGGAAUCUUCCGCAAUGGGCGAAAGCCUGACGGAGCAACGCCGCGUGAGUGAUGAAGGUCUUCGGAUCGUAAAACUCUGUUAUUAGGGAAGAACAAAUGUGUAAGUAACUAUGCACGUCUUGACGGUACCUAAUCAGAAAGCCACGGCUAACUACGUG